UGAACGCUGGCGGCGUGCCUAAUACAUGCAAGUCGAGCGAACAGAUGAGGAGCUUGCUCCUCUGCCGUUAGCGGCGGACGGGUGAGUAACACGUGGAUAACCUACCUAUAAGACUGGGAUAACUUCGGGAAACCGGAGCUAAUACCGGAUAAUAUAUUGAACCGCAUGGUUCAAUAGUGAAAGACGGUUUUGCUGUCACUUAUAGAUGGAUCCGCGCCGCAUUAGCUAGUUGGUAAGGUAACGGCUUACCAAGGCAACGAUGCGUAGCCGACCUGAGAGGGUGAUCGGCCACACUGGAACUGAGACACGGUCCAGACUCCUACGGGAGGCAGCAGUAGGGAAUCUUCCGCAAUGGGCGAAAGCUUGACGGAGCAACGCCGCGUGAGUGAUGAAGGUCUUCGGAUCGUAAAACUCUGUUAUUAGGGAAGAACAAAUGUGUAAGUAACUAUGCACGUCUUGACGGUACCUAAUCAGAAAGCCACGGCUAACUACGUG
This 495-nucleotide ribosomal RNA is filed under the name uncultured bacterium. RNAcentral describes it as "partial 16S ribosomal RNA". It matches the Rfam family "Bacterial small subunit ribosomal RNA", at positions 30 to 507 of the family's 1533-position model. The record is from RNAcentral.